GCUACACCACUGCCUCAAUAACAAUGACGUCAGCUAGAUACGCCGCUUGAAGGCGGGGAUCGGGUCGUGCGUGGUGUCGGAUGAAAUGUUUCAGUUGGUGUUGGUUGCCCUGGAGACCAGGAAGCAUAGAGCAGGUUUCAUCUCUUUUGUACCCUCAAUCCACUUUGUUAAGGAGCAUGAAUAGGGUCUUACCUUCAUCGUGACCUUGUGUAAUCAGUAUCAGUCUGGGUAUCUCUGACGAAGGAACAUGGUUUUGGUAUGGCAUGGACCCUAAUAAAUUAUUUCAACCUGUUCAGACUGGGACAAUGACAACAUCCUGACUAACAGCUAAAACCUAACCAGAUCUCUGGAAGCAAAUGUAUUUAGUCUGGAGGUCCCUCCCGGGGCCCCACAGUGUCUCAGAUGAUGGAGAGAGCUGGAAUGCAGGAAUGUGGAGAGAUAAUCCUGCAACCUCAGUGGAUACUGCUCAACGCCUACCAGUGCUUUGAUCUUCACACCGCUGCCAAGGGGAACAAGCAAUUUCCUGAGCUCUUCUCAGAGGAAGGUUCCUGUAAAUGCAUGUUCCAUGUCAGCACGCAGGUAUCCAAGGAGCCUACCCACAUGAACACAAAUCUAUUUAAUUUGGUUAAUGCUGCUGAUAAACAGAUUCUGCUCAUAAAACUCCUCCAUCACCCGGGAGGAAAGGGUGCAUGUCAAAGAAACCCUAUACGUUUGCAGUUUCACCUCUAGCCGCACCCUUGAGAGUCACAGGACAACUUCCAUCAGAAUUUCCACUAGUUGUUGCCUAAGAAUGUAAGCUACUGUAUGUGAGUCAGCCAUGUCAGGUUUCUGAGCAGUAAUGUUGAUAAGAUAUAUAAUGCUCCCACCCCUGACUCCCUGUCCUUCUGGCGACUGCUCUGGAAAAACAUUCUCAUCUAUCAGGAAUGUAAUUCACUCUAUAGUGAUGGAAAAUACUACUAAGAACAGGUUUUCUCUGUGAAAUAUUAAAUUAACUGGUAUCCUGAAAUGCAACAUUCUUCUAAAACAAAGUGAUGUAUUUGUCUGACGUCUCUAAUUUGGGGAAACUACAGUAAACUACUGGGCAAAUGUUAGAGUUUCGAGUAGCAUAUGUCAGAAGCACAAGCACGGAAAUCUAAAGCCCUGUGAUAGCUGAUAGAUAGAGGGGUGGGGGGGACAGGUACAGGUGAUGACGCUCAAGUGAUGUUUCCUCUUUGAGGUGCCUCUAUUCAUAUCCUGCUACCAAAUAGACAAUGGGGGGCGGUUUUCAGUCUUAUGUUUGUUAUUCCUGUUGCAAUAUUCAAUAGCUGCCACCGUCCCCCUGUUGUGGUACUUACUACCUUUCCACGGCCACCUCUCUGGUUAUGCACCUUUUCACAUCCUCAUCGAAGAUAACAUUUAUAAAUGAGAUGAAUCUACUUAAUUGCCAACAGUUGUCUCCUCCACACCUUUUCUCUGAUAAGAUUUUAUAUGGACAAAAAUAUGUUGUACCUUUACUGUAACUUAUCUGAGCAAUAAUACAUAUUCAAACUUGUACCAAUAGUACUGAAGACUUGCCUGGGUUAAAGAAUUUAAGAGAGACACCCAUCUGUAAGCAGCAGAUGUUUAAAUGAUUCAUGAGAUAGAACUGGCGGCCUUUUUUUCAUUGAAUGAAAGGGUCUAUUAGUACUGUAAAUAUACAUAGGCAAGCCAUCCCCCAGUAAACACAACACAGUGUACCCAAGGUGGAUGAUGCAGGUGGAACCUGUGCAGUGCUCUAAAUUCUGAAGAAAGUCGUGUGGAAUGCUGUAGAAGAUUCCUGGGGCGGUUGAGUAAUGUUGUCAGACCAGCCUGUCUGCUCUGGGCCAUGCAUACCCUCAGUUCUAUGACUCCCACACCUCAGCAGGUUACCAGGCCCGAUCCACUGGCUCAGAGCAGCCUGGCUACCUACCCAGCAUUCCUCUUGCUUUAGUCAAAGGAUUCCGGCAUGGUGCAGGGAAAGUUGCUGUAGAGGUCCCACACGUCUUACUGGAGGAUUCAAACAUUUCUGAGUCAAGCGUCAAAACAAAAAGAGACUUAACUCGGAGGAAUGUUUCACGGUGAUGGGGGACUCUAAUAUACUUUGAAGGAGACACUAGUGCAGAGACAGUCGUGAGAGAGAACCACUCAAUGUUGGCCUACAAUCAGCCAUGUGCAUUCAUAGCCCUAAGGAGAAAUACAAGCUUGUGCACAUUCUUUCUUGAAAUGUGUUUUUGUCUGGUUGAAAUGCCAAGCAUGACACAUCAUAUAUAAGCUUAUUUAGCUGUUUGUGUCCCUUGAAGAUAAAAAGUACUUAGCUUAUUUGAAUGCUUGUUUUAUCUAUUUACUCAUCCAUAAAUCCAUAACAUUUCAGUGUGAUUAAUCAUGACUGUGAGGAUUUAAGAUUGACAUUAAAUUAAAUUAGACUGGUGAAAACAAGUAUUAUUCUUGAGAUUUGAGUACUGUAACUGGAAUGUGAAAGGUCACCAUGAUCACCUGACUGAAACGCAUGCUCUUUAUUCUCCAGUUGAGAGGAGAUACUGUCUGUGUGUGUUCGCGCACGCAUAGUGUAUUCGUUUUUACAAUGGCCUUGUUGUGUUUCAAUGAAGUCAUGAAAGUUCCUUAUCUGAUAUCAGCACAUAACAUAACUUUCUGAGACGGCGAGAUUGUGAAAGGAAAAAGCAUCCAUUUAUGUCUUGUAGAUAUCAUUGGUCUGUCUUCUCACCAAUUCUAUUCAUCAGUUGUCAUGCUUCCCAUAGUUCUGCUAUUUGUAAUGUCCCAAAUCCAUUGGUCAAAAUAAAUGCCAAUUCCAGAACCAUUUA
Long non-coding RNA from Oncorhynchus nerka (sockeye salmon), 2816 nucleotides. RefSeq lists it as uncharacterized. The record is from RefSeq and is a predicted model, not a curated record. NCBI's taxonomy places the organism in Eukaryota, Metazoa, Chordata, Actinopteri, Salmoniformes, Salmonidae. The transcript has 3 exons.